UUCACGAAGUGACGGAUAAGAGGAAAAUUUUCACUUUUUUCAAUUUUGAGUUUUUUGCAUUUUUGGACAUCUAUGACUUAUAUCUUGAACCUCAAAAAGUUUCAGAUCACAAUAAUGUCUAAUUACGUUGCUAUGACGACAUGACAUUCAAUAAAAUACCGGGUAAAAGGAUUUCUUGUUUUCACGAAGUGACGGAUAAGCAGCCGUCAAUACGUGAAAACAAACGAAUACGCUUUGCACUCAAGAGUUUUUUCACGAAGUGACGGAAGGCAAAUAUUUACAGUUUGGAACAGCCGAAGACCAUGAAAUGAUGCAGUAUAUACAAUAAGCAAUGUUUGAGAGAACAAAUGAGAGAAGUCCUGGAACUGGUACACUUGCUAUUUAACAAUGCUGAUGGUCAGAUACAAUUCCAGGUUAGAUCCAGGGGCCGACACGCUUGUCAGAUGGGUCAUUGAUGAUUCCCUGAACAUCGCAGAUAUGAUCUGAUUUGGUGACAUGACAGUGGAAUUGGUAGUGACUGGAUUUUUAUAGUGUGCCCUGGUUUUGAAAUAUUGAAGUAACCAAACUAGAAACAUCUUCUGAGAACUCUGACUGCAAUUCUAAUGAUGAAACUCUGUCUACACUUGUGAAAAUGUAAAAGGAGUUGGCUCUACCUCGUGGCCUUUCAGGUUCAGUGCUCUCAUCUAACCUUUUCUUUUUCCAGCUGGGUAACUGAUACCAAUUUUAAUUUUCUUUAGAUUUUGACUUCAACAUAAGUUAAGUUUUAAUUUUGAUAGGACUUUCAAAUCUGGUUUCAUUUUUAGAGCAGUGUAUUAUAUAAAGAAACUAUACUGCUUGAACUAUAAGUCUCUGCUCUUAUAGUGAUAUGAUUAUGAACUCCUUUAAAAAUAUUUUAUAUAUACAGUCAAAUAUAAAGUUCAGAAUAGUCACUUAUCUGCUAUACUUACAUGUUAAAAUUGCUAAUACACAUCGUCCACAUAUGGAUGCAGAAUAAUUACCCUUUUUCAUUCAUUUGUUUCGCAUGUUUUCAUUUUGCUUGGUGCUAUCUAAAAAACAGAAAUACUGCAUAUUUCUACAUUUAAAAUAAAACUGAAUGUUAUUAGCUCUAUUGUGCUUAAAUGUAUUGUGUUAAUACUUCAUAUUCUUUAAUAAUAACAAUCAUACAAUUUAGACUGACAUGCAUUGUGAAACUCGAUAGCUGCAUGAUAUAUUACUAGUAAGGAUGUAGGGGUGAAAAUCAUAUUAGGUUUUUGUGAAUUCAUUUUCAAAAGCCAAAUGUGUUAAUACAGACACCCCCCCCCCCCCCCCCUCUUCCAUGAGGUAAUGUUUUAUUGGUUUAUCAGGGGGUGAGAAUUCUUAAGCUGAUUUUAGUUAUUUUUUGCUUUUUAUUUUAAGCUUGAUAUCCCCCAUUCCUGUACAAUAGUUUGAGAGCUCAUUCAAUUUAAUCCCCCAACUCUUUACAGAAUUUUCAUGUCUUUAUUUGUCAUCGCUCACACACCUGGUUCAUGCAGUCGAUGUGUCGUAAUUUUAUUCCAGAAAAUCCAACUGUUAGAUUUUGUUAAUGAGUGUUAUUCAGGAAAGAAGUAAUACAUGAUUAUUUUUAGCUUGAGGUUAAAGAUACACUGCAGCACAUGUUUUUCUGUCUAUUUGUAGUAAGAAUUUUACUCUUUUUUUUUAAUCCCACAAGAUCAAAGAUGUUAUUUUCUAAAACCAUGAAGACGAUUUUUUGUAAAGUUUUCAGAUUUGGAAGAAACUAAGGUGUAUUUUAAUAUAUGUUCCUGUUUUGGACUCUGACAAUAAUUUGCAAUUAAAAAAACAAGUGUUUGAUUGGAAAAUGUAUUGAUGAAUGUUAUUUAGCCAAUGACUUGAGAAUGAUGGAAAAAAUACAAAUCUACUUAGUCAUUCGUAUUUUUUAUCAUUGCCUUUUUUUUUGCUUUUGUCGCUGUCGUUUGGAAUUUUGAUUAUAAAUUUGUUUAAAAAAUUAUCCUGUUUGAUUUGACGUUAAAUUAUUGAUUUAAAAUUAUAUUUCUUUCUUUGACCAUCAUAGUUUAUAAUUGUUUAUUCAAAGGUUUGCAUGGUUCCUUCGGUAAAGAUAAGCUUUUUGUACUAUUGGACUUUUUAGUCCUUGACAGUGUGUAAAAACAUGAAACAACUCUCAAGGCAAUUGAUUUAAUUAUGACAUUCUUUUCAUUAAAAAAUUCCAAAGAGUAGUGAAUGUAAUAAGUAAUGUUGACUAUGUUACUUCUAUUUUGAUGGAAAAGAAAUAGGCAAUUAUACUUGUAUAUGAUUGUGUAUGUUAAUACAAAUAUACAUUAGAGAAUAUAACUUUCCUGCACCACUAGCAAUGAUUAUUUUCCAGUAUUCUUGUAAUUGAAAGUUUAUUAAUUUGUCAUUGGAAUGUUUUGAAUGUAGAAUUGGGUACUUGAUAGCAAUUCUGUAUUUCUAAAUGUGGCAUUCCCAGACUAGGAUUAUACUGAUUGUGUUUAGCAAGGUUUGAUAUACAAAUAAAUAUAUUGUUGCAUAACGGUAUAUUCAAGUUUUAUGAAAUGUAUAAAAUGACAAAAUUCUGACAAUGUGUACCUGAUGGUUCAUUUCCUAUACCUUUCACAGUGCAAUAUUAAAUUGAUUUUAAUAAUUAUGAAUGUCGAUGUGUUUGUCACUAGCGAUUAUGGUCCUAUAUAUUAUUGAAUUUAAAAAUUUGUCAAAAUAUUUUUCCAUUGUUAACAUUGUAUGGAGAUGAUACUUUAAUGAAUUUAUUAAGCAUACCUUUAUCGAAAUGAUUGAUAUGAAAAAAAUGUUAUAUUUUAAUUUUCUAUUUGUCACUUGCUGCUAUGAUUUUAUAUGUUAUAGAAUUAAAAGUGUUCUUCUAAAUUUAUUCACAUUGCUAAAUUUGAAGAAUUUAUUUUAUAUCGUUAGUAUUUUCAAUGAUUUAUGACAUAACUCUCAUUUUGCAUGAAAAGAUAUUUUAAUAGGAUUUUCAGGAGAGAAUACAUGACCAUUGUGAUAAAGGAAAAAUGGAGUAGA
Long non-coding RNA from Lytechinus variegatus (green sea urchin), 3024 nucleotides. RefSeq lists it as uncharacterized. Lineage: Eukaryota; Metazoa; Echinodermata; Echinoidea; Temnopleuroida; Toxopneustidae. The record is from RefSeq and is a predicted model, not a curated record. The transcript is spliced from 3 exons.